CGGACGGGUGAGUAACGCGUAGGUAACCUGCCCCAUACAGAGGGAUAGCCACUGGAAACGGUGAUUAAUACCUCAUAAAACUGAGAAUACACAUGUAUACUCAGCCAAAGAUUUAUCGGUAUGGGAUGGACCUGCGUCUGAUUAGUUAGUUGGUGAGGUAACGGCUCACCAAGGCGACGAUCAGUAGCCGACCUGAGAGGGUGAUCGGCCACAUUGGAACUGAGACACGGUCCAAACUCCUACGGGAGGCAGCAG
RNAcentral lists this ribosomal RNA (255 nucleotides) under uncultured bacterium. RNAcentral's name for it is "partial 16S ribosomal RNA". It matches the Rfam family "Bacterial small subunit ribosomal RNA", at positions 99 to 354 of the family's 1533-position model. The record is from RNAcentral.